This 430-nucleotide unclassified non-coding RNA is filed under the name soil metagenome. RNAcentral describes it as "partial contains 5.8S ribosomal RNA, internal transcribed spacer 2, and large subunit ribosomal RNA". The stretch from base 1 to 120 matches the Rfam family "5.8S ribosomal RNA", at positions 35 to 154 of the family's 154-position model. The record is from RNAcentral.
GAUGAAGAACGUAGCGAAAUGCGAUACGUAAUGUGAAUUGCAGAAUUCAGUGAAUCAUCGAAUCUUUGAACGCAUAUUGCGCUCUCUGGUAUUCCGGAGAGCAUGCUUGUUUGAGUAUCAGUAAACACCUCAACUCCCUUUUCUUUUUUGAAAUUGGAGCUGGACUUGAGUGAUCCCAACGCUUUCUUCCAAGAAAGUGGCGGGCUGCUUGAAAUGCAGGUGCAGCUGAACUUUUCUCUGAGCUAUAAGCAUAUCUAUUUAGUCUGCCUAAAAAACAGAUUAUUACCUUUGCUGCAGCUAACAUAAAGGAGACUAGUUCUUGUGCUGACUGAUGCAGGAUUCACAGAGACAGCUUCGGCUGACUUUGUAAACUCGAUCUCAAAUCAAGUAAGACUACCCGCUGAACUUAAGCAUAUCAAUAAGCGGAGGA